UACGUAGGUCCCGAGCGUUGUCCGGAUUUAUUGGGCGUAAAGCGAGCGCAGGUGGUUUAUUAAGUCUGGUGUAAAAGGCAGUGGCUCAACCAUUGUAUGUAUUGGAAACUGGUAGACUUGAGUGCAGGAGAGGAGAGUGGAAUUCCAUGUGUAGCGGUGAAAUGCGUAGAUAUAUGGAGGAACACCGGUGGCGAAAGCGGCUCUCUGGCCUGUAACUGACACUGAGGCUCGAAAGCGUGGGGAGCAAACAGG
RNAcentral lists this ribosomal RNA (252 nucleotides) under uncultured bacterium. RNAcentral's name for it is "partial 16S ribosomal RNA". It matches the Rfam family "Bacterial small subunit ribosomal RNA", at positions 524 to 776 of the family's 1533-position model. The record is from RNAcentral.